AUUUCCGAUUGGCGAAUCUAGCGGGAGCAAUGCGCUGUCUGUCAGGCGUGUGUUGGGUACAGAGUUUACUGCACCGGACCACCUGAAUUCCCUGGGCUGAGGCUCCAUAGCACGCGAACUACCUUGCGUGAGCACUAUGUAGAUUCGACUUCGUGUUGCCUGUGACACACAGGCAGGGCAAAGCCGCCUCCCAGCGUCUCAGUUGAACCCUUACCCUCAACACCAGUGCACUCCUGUGGGUGGCCUGUAGUCACCUUUCUUGUCGAAGUCCUCAAAGUUAGGGACAGACUCUCAUCCAGUUUCUGGAGGGUGGAAGCUUCACUCAGGCUGGAGUCUGGCUCUCUGGCCUCUUAUCUAAGAUCCCGGUUCAGAUCUGGGCUACUAGAGCCGGGCGUGGUGGCGCGCGCCUGGGAUUCCUGUAACCCCGAGGGAGGCUGAGGCUGAGGCUGGAGGAUGGCUUGAGCCCAGGAGUUAAAUGUAUAUAUUUUAAAACUAAUAAUAUUUUUAAAACUGGGCUACGCUGGUACCUUCUGCAACACGGCAAUUAGGGGUUUGCAGAUCAGACCUUCAGCUCAUAGGAGGCGCGUUUAAAUCUUAAUGGCAAAUACAAAUUGAAUUAAAUUUUACUUGUUACUGAAGGGGAAAUAAACCUGACCUCACGCCCUUGGAGUAUUUCCAUGAGAAAUCUAUGUAUAAGUGCUCCUUUGAUAUGUACCUGAUACUUUUGAAAGGCUGAAUAAGCACCUGCCAACUUUACAAAAGAGGAAUGUUUCCCCCAAAGGCCUGAUGAGCCAUCUCUUUGAAAUGUAAACAGUGAAGAAGAUAGUGCCCUUAUCUCCCUGUCACCUUGGGAGUUUAGCUUAGGUGCCUAGCUCCAAACUCGUAACUGCCCGCUUGUCACAGAUAAAAGUUUUAUUUUUUCUUUUUGAUAAAGGCAAUUAACUAGUGUAGAUGGCUACUCCAAUUACCAGGUGAAUUUAGAAUGAAUUAUGAAAAAUUGUAUAGCAAACAAUGUCAAAUCCUCUUACAAGGGGGCAAAUUACCAUUAAUUUUGAGGACAUGUUUGUAAUAGAUUGUAUCUGCCCAACUAGAUAAAAAGUAAGAUCUCUUUCUGUCUGGCAUCUGAUUAGCAGAUUGUCUACAAUGUGCUUCCCAGUCCAGUUCAAUAUUAUUUGGUAAUAAAACUGUUCUCCUUCUUUUCUACGUUUGUGAAGGGGAUUUUCUGGGUUAGCAGGAGAUUUUGUUUUUAUUUUCUCCAACACCUCCUUCCAUCUUCUUAUUUCUUUUCACCUUCCCAAUAUCAGCCUUCUGAGGCUUCUCUGUUCUCCAGUACUCAGGAGAUAGAGAACAUGGCCCCAAGGCCGUUGUGAGCCAGGAGACAGACAAACAUUUCUUGAUAUUCUGUCCUGCCUUUCACAGAAAGGACCAAUUCCCUUCUCUUGUCUUGGAGGCUGCCGUGUUAGUACUGGGCAGAAUCUGUUACUGAAACACCAGGGGUUGGGUCUAGGUCCUGCUGGUUGCCAGUCAGAAAACCAAUCACUGAGACGAGUAUUGCAAGGGAAGAAGGCCUUAAUUGAGUGCUGCAGCCAAGAAGAUGGGAGAUCAGUCUCACAUCCAUCUCCCUGACUGACCAAAAUCAGGGGUUUGUAUAGCAGGGAAGAAAUGUAACUAUGUGUGGGAAAACAGAAAUUAGGGAGAGGUAAGUUGGAACAGGAAGGAGGUGAUUGGUUAGGCAAUAUGACUGAUGAGGAGUGUGGGUUCUCAUUGUCCACAUGCAAUGAUUUGGUAAGUUGCAGCUCCUUGAUACUAUCUGGGAGGCCUGAUGUUUGGUUUUCCUGAGAAAGGAACUCAGGACAAAUGUGACCUUCUCAAGUUUUAAGACUGGGGGAAUCCAUUUCUUUUCUUUCCUUUUCCUUUCUUUUUUUUUUUUUGGACAGGGACUUGCUCUGUCAUUCAGGCUAGAGUGCGGUGGCAUGAUCACCGCUCAUGUAGCCUCAACCUCCUGGGCUCAAGUGAGUCUUCCACCUCAGCCCCGAGUAGUUGGGACUACAGGCACAUGCCACCACACCUGGCAAUAUUUUUUAAUUUUUUGUAGAGAUGGGGUUUCACCAUGUUGCCCAGGCUGAUCUUAAACUCCUAGGCUCAGGUGAUUCUCCCACCUCAGCUUCCCAAAGUGCUGGAAUUACAGGCAUGAGCCACCGCACCUGGCCUGGAAGGACCAAUUUCUGUUUAUUCAAAGAAACCAUAAACAUCAAUUCUGUGGGACAAUUGGGACAGUUUCAAAUCCAGCCCUUGAUCUGGAGCCCUCCCUCAGCAUCCCUCUGUGCUCCAUGUGACUGUUAUUCAUCACGUGAAUAAAAUCUAUGGAACAGUUGAAUUAAAAAUACAAGGACAGAGGUGACAUCAAUGGGAAAUCUCUGUCCCUUCUGUUUAAUUUUGCUAUGGACAUAAAAUUCAUCUA
Molecule: long non-coding RNA, 2461 nt
Filed under: Homo sapiens (human)
Lineage: Eukaryota; Metazoa; Chordata; Mammalia; Primates; Hominidae
Description: non-protein coding lnc-TMC2-5:1
Source: RNAcentral